This 366-nucleotide ribosomal RNA is filed under the name uncultured bacterium. RNAcentral describes it as "partial 16S ribosomal RNA". It matches the Rfam family "Bacterial small subunit ribosomal RNA", at positions 338 to 701 of the family's 1533-position model. The record is from RNAcentral.
CCUACGGGUGGCAGCAGUGAGGAAUAUUGGUCAAUGGGCGCGAGCCUGAACCAGCCAAGUAGCGUGAAGGAUGACUGCCCUACGGGUUGUAAACUUCUUUUAUAAAGGAAUAAAGUGAGGCACGUGUGCCUUGUUGUAUGUACUUUAUGAAUAAGGAUAGGCUAACUCCGUGCCAGCAGCCGCGGUAAUACGGAGGAUCCGAGCUUUAUCCGGAUUUAUUGGGGUGAAAGGGAGCGUAGAUGGGUUGUUUAGUCAGUGGUGAACGUUUGCGGCUCACCCGUAAAAUUGCCAUUGAUACUGGCAGUCUUGAGUACAGUUGAGGUAGGCGGCAUUCGUGGUGUAGCGGUGAAAUGCUUCGAUAUCACG